Molecule: non-coding RNA, 914 nt
Organism: Meleagris gallopavo (turkey)
Lineage: Eukaryota; Metazoa; Chordata; Aves; Galliformes; Phasianidae
Source: RefSeq, a predicted model, not a curated record
UAAAUUAAGAAUACGUAAGCUGCUUGUCUCGUAUGAUGUGGAUGAAAACACAUCAAAUGAUAUAAAAAGAAGUAUGUUCUUGAUCCUGAACAACUCUGUUCACCAGCUGAAAAUACAAAAAAACAGCAAUUACAAUGAUGGCUAUAGUGGCAGUUAUUUAAGAAGCUGACUCUUGCACAGUGGACACACCAAGAGGCAGAGAAAGGAGAAGCAGAACCAGGGGCAUUCAGAAAUGUCUGAGUUGUAUCUACCAACACCCUUUGAUUCUGGAGGAUUCCAAAGCUCUUCCUGAGUUGUAUCACGUUGCAGAUGGACACAACCAAGAUAACAGCUGUUUGCUGCCCUUCUAAAGAAACAUCCAGAACUUUUAAAAACACAGAAUGACUGUUCUCUUUUUCACUUUGUUAAUUAGACCUACACAGGAAGGACAUUUACCAACAGGAUGUAACGCUAUUUCUCAAGAAACAUAUUGCACCUUCUCGACCCCGAAGCAAGACGAAUUACUGCUAUUGGCUUUCUACACACAGAGUAAGAUGCAGAAGUGCAAGAAAGAGGAAUAGGCAGCAACAAAGAGGGAUAAGCAGCAUCAACUUCUGAAUUAGCUCCAAAUGUUUUUUACUCGUAAUUUUGUUCACAGGUGACGCUUUCCUUAGUUAGGGUUAGCUGCUAAUUAAACGACAUUUUAGCACUGCUAGUGUUUAAACACUUGUUAGUUCGCAGCACUGAAGUCUGUAUCUCUGCAUCAAUAUAUCUGUUGUAUGUUUGUCCAGUAGAAAUGCUUGAAUACAGUUGUAUUUAGCUUCUCCAGUUCCAGCAAUCCCUUAAUUCCUUUUACUUCCUACACCGUGGGUGAAUGGAAUGACUGUGAAAGGCCAGAGUGAAUAUGUCUUCGUCCUUAUUCCCCCAAUGCAGGG